UUGUUCGAGAUCAAAGAAGGUCAGAUUUGUCAGGCUAGCCCAUGGGCGGCGACCAUUUUUCGGGCAGUAGUCUUAGGGAGAAAGUAAAGCUGUUUAUCGACAAAUCGUCGAUUAAAAUUUCCUUCAAAAGAAGCCAUAAAACGGUGAAAUAUCCUCGUCCAAAGGAUUAUCUGCUACGAACGCAUCCAAGUAUUCUUAGAACUCAAAGCUUUCGAUUAGUCGGUGGAACGUGAUGCGCGGGAAUCGAGAAUGCUCGGCGUUCGUGUUUUAUCCGUGGCUAGAGUAAAAGCAUGCGGAUCCUUUGACACGUAUAUAAGAAGAAGAAGAAGACGAAGAAUCGACUGAUUCAUGGCGGUGUUUCUGAUUGCCUAUUCCUCUUUGUUCCCUUAAAUAUUCAAAAUACCGUCGUUGUCUUGUGUUUUGAGCACAACGAGUUUUCCCCAUACAAAGGCCGAUCAAGGCUUCCGCCUUUCCCUCGUAUGAUUUUCGGUGACUAUUGUUAUGCCACGCGUGCAGCUUGCGCCGAUCUUUAGGUUUACCCACAAACAUUCGAUUAACCCCGCUGCUUCGGCCGCGUGCUCAUUAAAAUGUCUCUUUGUUCGCCGGGAGAACAAAGCCGCGAUCCAUUCGCGACGUCGAUCUUCGGUUUUCUACUCCUUUGUGUCGUCGAUGGUAAACGUUGCCGUAAGCGAGGUCAUCGAUUCUUCUUACUACGUGAUUGACACGAUUCACCGAGAAUUGUCUUUAAUCUGUUAACCAGGUUGUGUACUAAUCAGAAGCCUGUGUAAUUAAAAAAUUAAAAAUUAAUAAAAAUAUAUAGAUUCCACUUAGGUAGGUUUAAUGUGAUGUGAAGACCAGAUAAAAAAAUGAUCUUAAAUUCAUUUUUAUUUGAUUUUCUGUUUACCUCGAACGCUUUUAUCAGAGGUGGUCUACAAGGGACAAUUCAACAUCAAAGAAUUUCCACCUGCGAUAAAUAAAGCUAAUUCCAUUAAAAUGACAUUCAUCUAGAAUUAGUUAGAUUAGUCCUAUUGUAGUAGGUGGUUUACGAUGUCUUCAUAAAAAUUGUUUUUUUCGAUGGAGUGAGGACCUGGAAACAAUUAAAAGACUAUUUUAACGUUCUUUAUAAGCAACUCGUAUGUCUAUGAAUCACACUUUGUUGACACACUGCGCCUUUUGCCUGGAAAACUUUUCACCACAGCAGUCAUAUAUCUAUUAGGAUUUGUAUAUACCGACGAUACGCCUUAAGGAAUCGAUAAUGGUUUUACGUCCUCAGCUGGUCAAAGGGCUACUUUCGCCCUGUUAAACUGUCGCACGUGGGACUACUUCUUAAAGGCGCAAUACAUGAUCAUAAAUCACAAUGUCUGCUUCAUGGAGCUUAGUUCGAGACAUACCUAUUCGAACGACAAUACCAAUAGCAUUCUUAUUUAUACACGGAAUUUGCAGAAAGGUUACGAAACGCGUGAAGAUUGGUAACCAUUUAUUCUUAUUUUAAAACUGAACGUUUUUUUAUUUUUUGACAUCUGUAAUGGAGAAUGUAACAGGUUUCGAAAAGAUAAAACUAGACCUGUAGCUACGUUCUAGAAGAAGAUUUUCAUUUUUUCUUUUUUAUUAAAUAAGUAUUUUAGAAAUAACAUUUCUCAAGUUAUGAUUCGUAUAA
Bombus impatiens (common eastern bumble bee) is the source of this 1657-nucleotide long non-coding RNA. RefSeq lists it as uncharacterized. NCBI's taxonomy places the organism in Eukaryota, Metazoa, Arthropoda, Insecta, Hymenoptera, Apidae. The transcript has 3 exons. The record is from RefSeq and is a predicted model, not a curated record.